GGGUCCGCACAAGCGGUGGAGCAUGUGGUUUAAUUCGAUGAUACGCGAGGAACCUUACCUGGGCUCGAAUGGUAUUGGCUGAUAGCUGAAAGGCUGUUUUCCUUCGGGACUGAUAUCAAGGUGCUGCAUGGUUGUCGUCAGCUCGUGCCGUGAGGUGUCAGGUUAAGUCCUAUAACGAGCGCAACCCCUACCGUUAGUUGCCAGCGUGUAAUGACGGGGACUCUAACGGAACUGCCGGUGCAAACCGUGAGGAAGGUGGGGACGACGUCAAAUCAUCACGGCCCUUACGUCCUGGCCACACACGUGCUACAAUGGUAGGUACAGAGGGAAGCCACCCCGCGAGGGGGAGCGGA
Molecule: ribosomal RNA, 353 nt
Filed under: uncultured bacterium
Lineage: Bacteria
Description: bacterial SSU rRNA
Rfam family: Bacterial small subunit ribosomal RNA
Source: RNAcentral